RNAcentral lists this ribosomal RNA (214 nucleotides) under Caulobacter sp. Root656. RNAcentral's name for it is "partial 16S ribosomal RNA". It matches the Rfam family "Bacterial small subunit ribosomal RNA", at positions 1328 to 1533 of the family's 1533-position model. Lineage: Bacteria; Pseudomonadati; Pseudomonadota; Alphaproteobacteria; Caulobacterales; Caulobacteraceae. The record is from RNAcentral.
GGAAUCGCUAGUAAUCGCGGAUCAGCAUGCCGCGGUGAAUACGUUCCCGGGCCUUGUACACACCGCCCGUCACACCAUGGGAGUUGGCUUUACCCGAAGGCGCUGCGCUAACUCGCAAGAGAGGCAGGCGACCACGGUAGGGUCAGCGACUGGGGUGAAGUCGUAACAAGGUAGCCGUAGGGGAACCUGCGGCUGGAUCACCUCCUUUCUAAGG